Podarcis muralis (Common wall lizard) is the source of this 288-nucleotide non-coding RNA. Lineage: Eukaryota; Metazoa; Chordata; Lepidosauria; Squamata; Lacertidae. The record is from RefSeq and is a predicted model, not a curated record.
GCUGAAGCUCUUGGAAGUACAGUACUAGAAAUGGUUAUAUCAAGCAUUCUAGUUCACAGUGAUGUCAAGUUUGGACCUGCCUUCAACACACAAGCCUUGACUGUAAUUAAGAUGGCAUAGAACCAGGAUUUACAGGAGCCUACUGCAGUACAUAAGGGCCCCUCCUGCCACUUCACAUACCUGCAACUGUGGGAAAGAACAUACCCAACAGCACAUCAUUUAAAUAACUGAAUGCAACAAUACUGAAAGGCAGCAGCAGAAAGAAGCCCAGGUGUACAGAAAAGCACA